AGAUAAUUGGUCCUUAGUCAUUUUUUAAAUGAGGCAGUAUAAUAUGGCACAAAUCAGUGACAGGGGAGGUUUGUGAAGAAUACAAAGAAAAGUCUGGAAAUGAUGUCUAUUAAGGCAUGUUUGAUUUGGUACGACAGUACACAUAGAAAGGAAAAUUGAUAUCUUCUAAUCACUGAAGUUCUGUGUGAUAGAACAAGGAAUAAAUUGUUACAUGAAGUUCAAAAAUUGCAAGUCUGGGACACUAGCAACAUGGCUUUUUUUUCUACAUGGAGUUAAAAGUCCUUACUUCAACUGCUGCUGAGAUAGUUGAUGGAGGGAUAGCUGAUAACUAUGAGGGCCACGUAAUAUUCAAAUAAUUGGUGGUGAUUUCCAGCAUGAACAAACUUGAAAAGCUCUAUUAUUCCAGAUGAAUCUUGUUCAGCAUAUUUAAAAUACUUUUAUACUUGAGGUAUACAAAUAUAAAAUAAUUCUUAUAUUUGUGUUUGUAUCAUUAGAUUUGUGGAAAAAA
RNAcentral lists this long non-coding RNA (508 nucleotides) under Vulpes vulpes (red fox). Its description in RNAcentral is "lncRNA (ENSVVUG00000001232.1)". The record is from RNAcentral. Lineage: Eukaryota; Metazoa; Chordata; Mammalia; Carnivora; Canidae.